RNAcentral lists this ribosomal RNA (254 nucleotides) under uncultured bacterium. RNAcentral describes it as "partial 16S ribosomal RNA". It matches the Rfam family "Bacterial small subunit ribosomal RNA", at positions 524 to 776 of the family's 1533-position model. The record is from RNAcentral.
GACGGAGGAUGCAAGUGUUAUCCGGAAUCACUGGGCGUAAAGCGUCUGUAGGUGGUUCGAAAAGUCCACUGUUAAAAAUUGAGGCUUAACUUCAAAGAUGCCGUGGAAACUUUCAAAACUAGAGUAUGGUAGGGGUAGAGGGAAUUUCCAGUGGAGCGGUGAAAUGCGUAGAUAUUGGAAAGACCACCGAUGGCGAAGGCACUCUACUGGGCCAUUACUGACACUGAGAGACGAAAGCUAGGGGAGCAAAUGGG